UGACUGAAGUUAAGACAUGUGCUCUUUCGAUAUACCGUAAUUUGACGGUAUCCAUACCGUAAAUUGGAUUUACAGUAGUAGUCUGUAAAUCAGAAAUACAGUAUAUUUCUGUAUUCACACUGUUAAAGCAAUAAAAACUUAAGAGAG
Long non-coding RNA from Alosa sapidissima (American shad), 147 nucleotides. RefSeq lists it as uncharacterized. The record is from RefSeq and is a predicted model, not a curated record. NCBI's taxonomy places the organism in Eukaryota, Metazoa, Chordata, Actinopteri, Clupeiformes, Clupeidae. The transcript has 4 exons.